This 367-nucleotide ribosomal RNA is filed under the name uncultured organism. RNAcentral describes it as "bacterial SSU rRNA". It matches the Rfam family "Bacterial small subunit ribosomal RNA", at positions 527 to 896 of the family's 1533-position model. The record is from RNAcentral.
GGAGGGUGCAAGCGUUAUCCGGAUUCACUGGGUUUAAAGGGUGCGUAGGUGGGUUGGUAAGUCAGUGGUGAAAUCCCCGAGCUUAACUUGGGAACUGCCAUUGAUACUAUCAGUCUUGAAUACCGUGGAGGUCAGCGGAAUAUGUCAUGUAGCGGUGAAAUGCUUAGAUAUGACAUAGAACACCAAUUGCGAAGGCAGCUGGCUACACGAAUAUUGACACUGAGGCACGAAAGCGUGGGGAUCAAACAGGAUUAGAUACCCUGGUAGUCCACGCCCUAAACUAUGGAUACUCGACAUACGCGAUACACUGUGUGUGUCUGAGCGAAAGCAUUAAGUAUCCCACCUGGGAAGUACGAUCGCAAGAUUG